Molecule: ribosomal RNA, 254 nt
Filed under: uncultured bacterium
Lineage: Bacteria
Description: partial 16S ribosomal RNA
Rfam family: Bacterial small subunit ribosomal RNA
Source: RNAcentral
CACGUAGGGGGCGAGCGUUGUCCGGAUUUAUUGGGCGUAAAGAGCUCGUAGGCGGCUUGGUAAGUCGGGUGUGAAACCUCCAGGCUCAACCCAGAGCCGCCACCCGAUACUGCUGUGACUUGAGUUCGGUAGGGGAGCGGGGAAUUCCUGGUGUAGCGGUGAAAUGCGCAGAUAUCAGGAGGAACACCAGUGGCGAAGGCGCCGCUCUGGGCCGAGACUGACGCUGAGGAGCGAAAGCGUGGGUAGCAAACAGG